UUAUAUUCGGGAUUCGUGUAUUUUCUUCCAAUUUUGGUUUAAAAAGGAAAAAGGUCACAUUUUAGUGUUUUUUUAAAUUGCUAGGAUGGCAAAAACUUGUAUCGUAUGUGGUGCCGCAUCAUGAUAAAAAGGCGAUUCAAGCAGAUCUUUUCACAAAUCUGAUCAUUCAUCAUCAACAAUAACUGUAUCUAAGAUUAAUAGUUCUACAGUGACCGUGGGGUCUAGGUCAACAAUUACUAUUUCUCAUCCAAGCCGUUUUAGUUCAACUACUACACAUUCCCUGACUCCGCUGAGGAAAAGGGUAAAAUCAAAACGAUAUCCUGGGGACCUAAGCACUGAUGAUUUCACCGUUUCAAUAUGUACAAACUAUGUAUAUGCACAAACUAUGUAUCAACUUUAUUUUUUUAAAUAUUUAUUCCCUAAUUUAUAAGUUUCGUUACAUAUUUUAUUUGACUUGUAAAAGUACUUGUUUGUAUAUUACUACUAAUAAACUAUCUAAUCUAGUCUAUUGUA
Anthonomus grandis grandis is the source of this 513-nucleotide long non-coding RNA. RefSeq lists it as uncharacterized. The transcript is spliced from 3 exons. The record is from RefSeq and is a predicted model, not a curated record. Lineage: Eukaryota; Metazoa; Arthropoda; Insecta; Coleoptera; Curculionidae.